This 61-nucleotide microRNA precursor is filed under the name Tribolium castaneum (red flour beetle). Its description in RNAcentral is "microRNA tca-mir-3876 precursor". The record is from miRBase by way of RNAcentral. Lineage: Eukaryota; Metazoa; Arthropoda; Insecta; Coleoptera; Tenebrionidae.
UUUCGUUUUAUUUUACCACUUACUACCAAGUUGACUAGACCAGUGGUAAAAUGAGAAAAAA